Molecule: ribosomal RNA, 600 nt
Filed under: uncultured Lake Michigan sediment bacterium LMBA38
Lineage: Bacteria; Pseudomonadati; Pseudomonadota; Betaproteobacteria
Description: bacterial SSU rRNA
Rfam family: Bacterial small subunit ribosomal RNA
Source: RNAcentral
CCGCCUGGGGAGUACGGCGCAAGUUAAACUCAAAGGAAUUGACGGGGACCGCACAAGCGGUGGAUUAUGUGGAUCAAUUCGAUGCAAGCGAAAAACCUUACCUACCCUCGACAUGUACGGAACCUCGCAGAGAUGUGAGGGUGCCCAAAGGGAACCGUAACACGGGUGCUGCAUGGCUGUCGUCAGCUCGUGUCGUGAGAUGUUGGUUAAGUCCCGCAACGAGCGCAACCCUUGUCAUUAGUUGCUACAUUCAGUUGGGCACUCAAUGAGACUGCCGGUGACAAACCGGAGGAAGGUGGGGAUGACGUCAAGUCCUCAUGGCCUUAUGGGUAGGGCUUCACACGUAAUACAAUGGCCGGUACAGAGGGCUGCCAACCCGCGAGGGGAGCUAAUCCCAGAAAGCCGGUCGUAGUCCGGAUUGUUCUCUGCAACUCGAGAGCAGAAGUCGGAAUCGCUAGUAAUCGCGGAUCAGCAUGUCGCGGUGAAUACGUUCCCGGGUCUGUACACACCGCCCGUCACACCAUUGGAGUUGUUUUUACCAGAAGUAGUUAGCCUAACCCAAGGAGGGCGACUACCACGGUGAGAUUCAUGACUGGGGUG